This 378-nucleotide ribosomal RNA is filed under the name uncultured bacterium. RNAcentral describes it as "bacterial SSU rRNA". It matches the Rfam family "Bacterial small subunit ribosomal RNA", at positions 30 to 417 of the family's 1533-position model. The record is from RNAcentral.
AUUGAACGCUGGCGGAAUGCCUAACACAUGCAAGUCGAACGAGGUGGAGCAAUACACCUAGUGGCGGACGGGUGAGGAACACAUAGGAAUCUACCUUUUAGUGGGGAUAACCCGGGGAAACUCGGAUUAAUACCGCAUACGAUCUACGGAUGAAAGUGGGUGACCGCAAGGCCUCACGCUGUUAGAUGAGCCUAUGUCCGAUUAGCUAGUUGGUAGGGUAAUGGCCUACCAAGGCGACGAUCGGUAGCUGGUUUGAGAGAACGAUCAGCCACACUGGAACUGAGACACGGUCCAGACUCCUACGGGAGGCAGCAGUGGGGAAUAUUGGACAAUGGGCGCAAGCCUGAUCCAGCAAUUCCGCGUGGGUGAAGAAGGCCU